GUAUUCCUACGGGAGGCAGCAGUGAGGAAUAUUGGUCAAUGGUCGGGGGACUGAACCAGCCAAGCCGCGUGAGGGAGGAAGGUACAGAGUAUCGUAAACCUCUUUUGUCAGGGAACAAAGACUGGGACGCGUCCCCGGAUGAGUGUACCUGAAGAAAAAGCAUCGGCUAACUCCGUGCCAGCAGCCGCGGUAAUACGGAGGAUGCGAGCGUUAUCCGGAUUUAUUGGGUUUAAAGGGUGCGCAGGCGGUCUGUUAAGUCAGCGGUCAAAGCCCGGGGCUCAACCCCGGCCCGCCGUUGAAACUGG
This 305-nucleotide ribosomal RNA is filed under the name uncultured bacterium. Its description in RNAcentral is "bacterial SSU rRNA". It matches the Rfam family "Bacterial small subunit ribosomal RNA", at positions 333 to 636 of the family's 1533-position model. The record is from RNAcentral.